AAUACAAGAUGAGAUUAAAGUCCUCCUUGAGGAGGCAGCAUACCAACAGAACAUUGUCCUUCAGGCAAGUCAAGCUCUGAAUUUGUGUGUUGCCAAUGACAUCACCUUUAAAGGUUCCCGGGAAGAAAUUGAAGCAGAAAAAGUGUUAUUACUUGCAACUGAGCACAGAACAGCAUGUCUAGAUGAGGUCAACAAAUUGAAAACUGGUGGUGCU
Molecule: long non-coding RNA, 214 nt
Organism: Pocillopora damicornis (cauliflower coral)
Lineage: Eukaryota; Metazoa; Cnidaria; Anthozoa; Scleractinia; Pocilloporidae
Source: RefSeq, a predicted model, not a curated record